This 497-nucleotide ribosomal RNA is filed under the name uncultured bacterium. RNAcentral's name for it is "partial 16S ribosomal RNA". It matches the Rfam family "Bacterial small subunit ribosomal RNA", at positions 28 to 507 of the family's 1533-position model. The record is from RNAcentral.
GAUGAACGCUGGCGGCGUGCCUAAUACAUGCAAGUCGAGCGAACGGACGAGAAGCUUGCUUUUCUGAUUUUAGCGGCGGACGGGUGAGUAACACGUGGAUAACCUACCUAUACGACUGGGAUAACUUCGGGAAACCGGAGCUACUACCGGAUAAUAUUUUGAACCGCUUGGUUCAAAAGUGUAAGACGGUCUUGCUUUCACUUAUAGAUGGAUCCGCGCUGCAUUAGCUAGUUGGUAAGGUAACGGCGUACCAAGGCAGCGAUGCAUAGCCGACCUGAGAGGGUGAUCGGCCACACUGGAACUGAGACACGGUCCAGACUCCUACGGGAGGCAGCAGUAGGGAAUCUUACGCAAUGGGGGAAAGCCUGACGGAGCAACGCCGCGGGAGGGAUGAUGGUCUUCGGAGCGUAGAACUCUGUUAUUAGGGAAGAACAAAUGUGUAAGUAACUGUGCACAGCUUGACGGUACCUAAACAGAAAGCCACGGCUAACUACGUG